UAAGACUGUUAAAUUUGACUUUUUUUAACGUCUUUUUUUUUUUUUUUUUUUUUUUUGGGAGCACAAUUGGGGGAGAGGGACAGAAGGGAAAAGAGAGAAUCCUUUUUUUUCUUUAAGUUUAUUUAUUUUGAGAGGUGAGGGGGAAGAGGGACAGAGGGAGAGGAGAGAGAAUCCCAAGCACGCACAGCCCAAUGCAGGGCUCAAUCUCAUGAACCAUGAGAUCAUGACCUGAGCCAAAAUCAAGAGUUGGAUGCUCAAUCGACUGAGCCACCCAGAAGCCCCAAGACUGUUAAAUUUAACUUUUAUUGUUUGUACCAAAAUACUUUCCCAAGAAAUUGAUUUCCAAAAUGGUCAUAGAUAUCAAUCAAAAGUAUUUCAAAAACAAAACAAACAAAAAAGAGGCACAAGGGCCUUCUUGUGGUUUUGUAAAAGUGCCACUCUGCCAACCUGUUAAGCCUGUCCUGUCUCCUGGUCCACACCACCUACUUCCUGCACUCAGCUGUCCUUUCUGUAAGGUUAACAACUGUGUCUUGUGUAGGCUUACCACAGGAACUGGGGCAUAGUAGGUUCCAACCCAUUUUUGAAUGGAUACAUGAUAGUAGCACAAACACUGAUGCCUAUAGAGAAUAAAGUGACUUCUCACAACUACACACACUCAUGAAGUGCUGAAGCUUUGUAGUCAGAUUACACAGAAAAGGAGUCAAAGUAGGAAAAUUCCUUGUUGUUUAUUGGCUAUACUCCCUGCCCAGUCCCCUACCGUAUUGAGCAGCCCAAUCCUAUCCUUGGAAGAGUUCCAGAGAUGGGAAGGGAUGGUGGGAUGAGGAAGCACAGCUUGAGGCUCAGCAGCCACAUUCCUUACCAGAUAGUAGUUGGGACACACUGGGGUUUCAUCUUGUCUCCCUAACUAGAGGACAGACUACUCGUCUCUCCCUACAUCUUCCUCUACCCCACCCUUACUUCAGGCAACAAAACUAGAAGCCAAGGGCUAGAGUUGGGGAAGAUAUCUCGGCAGGAUUUUAUCACAGCAUCAAGCCUAUCACCAUCAGAAUAAAGACAGCCAUCCAGGCUUCUGCAGGAAAGAAACAAAUGAUUACCAACAGGGUUCAGUGGAUUUAGGCUUAGAUAUUCCACUUUGGGGAAUUAUUUAGUAAUCCACUCAUGCAUUCUUUCAACAAAGGUUUCCCACUGUCCCGACAGUCCCUCCCUUGGGGGUGAGAGAUGGAGUACAGGGAUGAAACGUACUCUAGUUCAAUGUGGACCCCACUCAUCUCCUCUCACUUAUUACCUGCCUGACCCUAACCCCCUACUCUAAGUCAUUUCUGUCUAGUCUCAGGUUCUGACAAAGUGUAAAGCUCUAACUGUAAGUACCAACAACCCACAAUGACAACUCUGCUGUGUACUGCUGAGGAAUCUGAGACUCUAAGAGGGUAACUGACUUUUCCCAAGUCACACAGAGAUGAGCAGAGAUAGGAUCCAAGACCAGCACCAGUCAGAACCCAGUGUGCACCCCCCAGACCCUGGUGCACCCGCCAGAAUUUCACACCAAUCCCUGUGUACCAAUCUGCCAAACACGUGCUGCUGGAGGCAUUGAACUCAAACCACAUAGAAAAGAAGAUUGAACUCCAGGAAACAUUCUGACAGGAUUCCCAUUGUUGCAUCAAGAUUGGGCAAGAGGGCUGACCCUUUGUUGAAGCAGGGCCUCACAAUGGUGUGAUGAUGAGUCUUCUGCCUCUAAUAAGAACGGACUUACUAAGAUAGGCUUUUCCAUGAGGGUCGGAGUUUUGGAGGACUGUUAUGAAAGGAGAGACUGUUCCAGACCAGCAAGGAAGAUACACAAAAGUAGGCUGGCACAAGGGACAAACAGACUACAAGAAGAGUGAGCUGGUGUGGCGGGAAAGGUGGGAGUAGGAGGAGAGGAGUAGAAACUGAAUGAGAACAUGAUCCGUGAGGAGAGGGGACCCUUCCUGAGCAGAGGAGAAGCUGAAGAGGAUAUAGGUUUGGGGAGGAUAUGGACCUGGAUUAAGAGAGGAGUGUGAGGACAUGAAGGUAGGAGGGGUCUCAGAGCAGGUCAGUGGGAUGCUUUGCAAGAGGAGUCAGAGAGGCGCCUAAAUGACCCAGUUACCGCUAAUCCGGAUGGGCUCCGAACGCCACCCAGCCAGCGCCGGUCUUCAGGCGCCCUUGCAUCGGAAUCUCCCAGGCUCGAUUUCUCCCAGGCGAACUCUUCUGCCUACAGGUCGGCGGGAGACAAGCAAGCCUCAGGGUAGCGAGGUCCCUCCCCGCCCCAGCAAGGGCGGGCAUUUGCGCGAGACUCCGGGGAGCCAGGUGUGUUCCCCCAAAUCCCGCCCCUUAGGUCAACCACUGGACCCUUGCAACACAAGCCCCGCCUCCGGUUCCUGCCCCCGGCAGGAUAGGCCAAUCCCCAACACCGCCAUCCUCCAGGCCCCGCCUUAGUCCCGCCCCCAGGGUGGCAGCAUUGGUGUAUUGCUACGUGUCUGGCUCCAGUGGGCCGCCUCCACCGGCGCCAGGCGUAGGCUAAGGAAACUGCCAGGAUCCCCCAGGGCUGCCAGCUCACCGGCUGGCAGGGGUGUCCCUCCCGCUUGUCACACAGGGUCACUCGGCUGCUGUUUAUGUACCCAGGAUACAGACGAAAGAGACAGGAUCUGUGCUCAUGGGAACAAACGCACUCAGCACAAGCCACAGACCAAGAGCUAGUGUGGCAUUGGUAGGAAGGUACUGUGGCCUGACAGACACCGCUCCUUCACAAAGUGGUAGAUGGACUUAAUGGUACCAGUCCUAGAGAUCAUCAUCUGGCAAAGGCCUCAUUGGCCACCAGGGCAAAUCUGUCUGGAUCAAUGCUUAUGACUCCGAAAACCAUAUAGAGACGUUUGCCAAGAGGAAAUGGUCUGUUCUCAAGUACAGAUGAGAGCUGAGGGUCCAUGAAGAUGCCCAGGAUGAUGAUGACAUCCCCAGUGCACAGAACAGGGAUGGUGGCAUAUCUGGAGAGUGACCAGAGUGAGACUCUCACCAUGAAACUGCAGAGGGAGGGACAGUCACUCACCUUCUGCCUUGCACCCAAGGUCACUGAACACUGGUAGCCAUAGUAAAUAAGGGGACAGGAGGAGCAAAUCUGCUAACAUUCCUCCUGGACUUUCUGAAAAAUGAGGGGCCGCCUAGGACCAUUGAAGCCAUCCAAGCCAACCUACCUCAUGGUAAUUUACAUAAAGGACCCAUAAUGCAUUACUUCAUGGGAGCAUUUUCUUUUUUUUUGUUUUGUGAUCUCAUAUAUUUCAACCUAGACUUUAUAUUGUUAUAUUACGUACUUUCAUUUAAUUAAUUAAAAUAUAAUUUAUUGUCAAAUUGGCUAAUA
Long non-coding RNA from Acinonyx jubatus (cheetah), 3367 nucleotides. RefSeq lists it as uncharacterized. The record is from RefSeq and is a predicted model, not a curated record. Lineage: Eukaryota; Metazoa; Chordata; Mammalia; Carnivora; Felidae. The transcript has 2 exons.